This is a long non-coding RNA of Carassius auratus (goldfish), 1876 nucleotides long. RefSeq lists it as uncharacterized. The transcript is spliced from 2 exons. The record is from RefSeq and is a predicted model, not a curated record. Lineage: Eukaryota; Metazoa; Chordata; Actinopteri; Cypriniformes; Cyprinidae.
AUUUUGCUGUUUUUCCUCCUCGUUUUGUUUAAAUUGCUUUUUAUUAUUUGAUUUUUGAUGUUUUUAAUGGUCUUCCCCCAUUUUUUUUUUCUGUUUCAUCAGCUUGUUCUUCUUAAAUUGUUAUCAUUUCAUUAUUAAGUUGUUUCAUCUCCUUAUUUUAUUUUGAUUUUGUUUAAUUUUUUAAGAUGAUCAUUAGAUAUUGAGUAAUUUUACAAAAAUGACAUGCUUUACUGUGACGGUCACACACUUUUCCGCAGCUUCUGCGGUGGGUUGGUGGAUGAUCCUCCUCAGUCAGUUGUGGAAAUGUUGUCACAAUAUUGUGACAGACAGAUUGUUGUGUGGCUGCACAGAGCGCAACAGAGAGCAUGACGCCAUUUAUGGCUGCUGGCUGCGUUUUUUUUUUUUUUUUUUUUUGGAGCCUUCAGAGAAAGUGAGGGAUUGAUCAGUGCAGAGGGGAAGUGGAGCUGAGAUGAAGAGAGGGAGGGAGGGAAGGAGAGAGUCGGAGGGGAGGGUGGGUGGGGGGAAUCACUCUCGCUGCAGAAUCUGCCGUUUGCUGGCACUCAGUCACACCGAGAGAGCGAGAGCGGGUCUCACAUACGGCCCAGGUACGGGUACAGAUGCCCGGGACAGGUGUCCGGACCAGUGAAGGAUGUGCGGAUAACAAAGUCGGCACAGGUUUGAAGGUAGACAGUGUGCGUGCGUGUGUGUGUGUGUGAGGCACGUGGCGGUUGCUCUCAUUUCCGGGAGUGUCCACACCGUCUGGUCCCUGAGGAUGAACGAUGCUUCUUGUUUGUGGGGGGAGGAGGAGUCUUCAAGGUGUGUAUGUGUGCAUCAGUUUUGCGUUUGCAGUGUAAAUGACAUGCAUGUUUUGACUGCCGUGUGCAUUAUCGGAUUUGCUUGCAGUUAGUGUUCUGCGGACGCAUGAUCUCGUCUGUGCUCCCAAAGUCACAAAAAAAGACAACUUAUUGGAAAAGCAGCGAGGGGGAAUCGCAGGCGCUGCGUGUCUGGGUGGGUGUGGGGUGGUCUUGCAGGGAGCUGCGUAAGCCGUUUUCUGCUAAUUUUGCCCCAACGCCAGUUUACUGGCUCUUGAAAGUGGCUGAUCAAUUGCUGCUACAUGUCUUUCGAUGUAAUGGAGUCAGUGGUGGGAGACGAGACGCAGACAGACACACACACACACAUACAGACGCUCAUGUCUGAAGCUGCAGUCAGAGGCCAGCGGUUCUGCUCACCAGAGAUCCUGAGGAUGAGAAACACAAGACAAAGAGAAAGACGGACAGAGAGACUGACCAUCUGACUGUUGGCUAUCUCGACGGGCAGCUUCAAAUCCAACCGCUCGUCCUGAUUUCCUCUUACCUGAUUGGUUUUUUUCCGUCUGCUUUUGUGCAUGCCAUUUGGUGCAUGAUAUGCCUGUGCGCUGCGUGUCUGCGGCUCUAAACUUUGCAAUGAAGACCAAAAAAAGGCACAUUUUAUUAUCAUAGGCCGAACGUUAUUAGCAGAAUAAUCUUCGUUAUGCUGGAUGAAAGAGGACGUGAGUGUGCAAUACAUGUGUGUGUGUGUUUGUGACUAACCUGUGCGGACACCGCUGCACUCCUCCUGGUCCCUGAGACCCUAACUUGUGAGCUUUGUGUGCUAAAAAUCACAGGUUAAGCUCUUGGGACCUGGGCAGAGGGCAAAAGCACUCAAUCCCCUGGCUGUGUCCCGACUGAGACGGACGCGGGACGGAUGUCUGUGAGAGAUAAGACAGAGAAACGGUGGACCAGAGAGCGGAUGCGACACUGGCGUGUCUGAGAGAUUAAAUGUUCAAUAUGUUCACAUGCCUGAUGAUGAUGAUGAUGGUUUCUAAUGGUUUUUAAAUAAAACUUGACCGUGCACAUCU